This 345-nucleotide unclassified non-coding RNA is filed under the name soil metagenome. Its description in RNAcentral is "partial contains 5.8S ribosomal RNA, internal transcribed spacer 2, and large subunit ribosomal RNA". The stretch from base 1 to 121 matches the Rfam family "5.8S ribosomal RNA", at positions 35 to 154 of the family's 154-position model. The record is from RNAcentral.
GAUGAAGAACGCAGCGAAAUGCGAUAAGUAAUGCGAAUUGCAGAAUUUCCGUGAGUCAUCGAAUCUUUGAACUCACAUUGCGCCCACUGGUAUUCCGGUGGGCAUGCCUGUUCGAGCGUCAUUAUCCUCCCUCAAACCUCGUGUUUGGUGUUGGACCCAAGUUGUGUGAACAACUGGUCUUAAAGACAAUGACGGCGUCCGUGGGACCCUCGGUGCAACGAGCUUUUAGGAGCACGCGUCGAGUUUCAAGGACCUUCCGGGCCGGUCUCCUUUACCAUUUUACAAGGUUGACCUCGGAUCAGGUAGGAAUACCCGCUGAACUUAAGCAUAUCAAUAAGCGGAGGA